RNAcentral lists this ribosomal RNA (433 nucleotides) under uncultured bacterium. RNAcentral's name for it is "partial 16S ribosomal RNA". It matches the Rfam family "Bacterial small subunit ribosomal RNA", at positions 29 to 507 of the family's 1533-position model. The record is from RNAcentral.
AACGAACGCUGGCGGCAUGCCUAACACAUGCAAGUCGAACGAGACCUUCGGGUCUAGUGGCGCACGGGUGCGUAACGCGUGGGAACCUGCCCUUAGGUUCGGAAUAACUCCCCGAAAGGGGUGCUAAUACCGGAUAAUGUCUUCGGUCCAAAGAUUUAUCGCCUUUGGAUGGGCCCGCGUUGGAUUAGCUUGUUGGUAGGGUAAAAGCCUACCAAGGCGACGAUCCAUAGCUGGUCUGAGAGGAUGAUCAGCCACACUGGGACUGGGACACGGCCCAGACUCCUACGGGAGGCAGCAGUGGGGAAUAUUGGACAAUGGGCGAAAGCCUGAUCCAGCAAUGCCGCGUGAGUGAUGAAGGCCUUAGGGUUGUAAAGCUCUUUUACCCGGGAUGAUAAUGACAGUACCGGGAGAAUAAGCUCCGGCUAACUCCGUG